UACCCGAUGGUGUAAUUGGUAACACAGGAGGUUUUGAUCCUCUCAUUCUUGGUUCAAGUCCAGGUCGGGUAG
Lentisphaera araneosa HTCC2155 is the source of this 72-nucleotide transfer RNA. It matches the Rfam family "tRNA". From Rfam's summary of the family: Transfer RNA (tRNA) molecules are approximately 80 nucleotides in length. Their secondary structure includes four short double-helical elements and three loops (D, anti-codon, and T loops). Further hydrogen bonds mediate the characteristic L-shaped molecular structure. tRNAs have two regions of fundamental functional importance: the anti-codon, which is responsible for specific mRNA codon recognition, and the 3' end, to which the tRNAs corresponding amino acid is attached (by aminoacyl-tRNA synthetases). tRNAs cope with the degeneracy of the genetic code in two manners: having more than one tRNA (with a specific anti-codon) for a particular amino acid; and 'wobble' base-pairing, i.e. permitting non-standard base-pairing at the 3rd anti-codon position. NCBI's taxonomy places the organism in Bacteria, Pseudomonadati, Lentisphaerota, Lentisphaeria, Lentisphaerales, Lentisphaeraceae. The record is from Rfam.